AUACAGUAUAGUGCACUACUUAGGCACCCUAUUCCCUAUAUACAGUAUAGUGCACUACUUAGGCACCCUAUUCCCUAUAUAAAGUAUAGUGCACUGCUUAGGCACCCUAUUCCCUAUAUACAGUAUAGUGCACUACUUAGGCACCCUAUUCCCUAUAUACAGUAUAGUGCACUACUUAGGCACCCUAUUCCAUAUAUACAGUAUAGUGCACUGCUUAGGUACCCUAUUCCCCAUAUACAGUAUAGUGCACUACUUAGGCACCCUAUUCCAUAUAUACAGUAUAGUACACUACUUAGGCACCCUAUUCCCUAUAUACAGUAUAGUACACUGCUUAGGCACCCUAUUCCCUAUUCCCCAUAUACAGUAUAGUGCACUACUUAGGCACCCUAUUCCCUAUAUACAGUAUAGUGCACUACUUAGGCACCCUAUUCCCUAUAUACAGUAUAGUGCACUACUUAGGCACCCUAUUCCCUAUAUACAGUAUAGUGCACUACUUAGGCACCCUAUUCCCUAUAUACAUUAUAGUGCACUACUUAGGCACCCUAUUCCCUAUAUACAGUAUAGUGCACUACUUAGGCACCCUAUUCCCUAUACACAGUAUAGUGCACUACUUAGGCACCCUAUUCCCUAUAUACAGUAUAGUGCACUACUUAAGCACCCUAUUCCCUAUAUACAGUAUAGUGCACUACUUAGGCACCCUAUUCCCCAUAUACAGUAUAGUGCACUACUUAGGCACCCUAUUCCAUAUAUACAGUACACUACUUAGGCACCCUAUUCCCUAUAUACAGUGCACUACUUAGGCACCCUAUUCCCUAUAUACAGUAUAGUGCACUACUUAGGCACCCUAUUCCCUAUAUACAGUAUAGUGCACUACUUAGGCACCCUAUUCCCUAUAUAAAGUAUAGUACACUGCUUAGGCACCCUAUUCACUAUAUACAGUAUAGUGCACUACUUAGG
Long non-coding RNA from Oncorhynchus tshawytscha (Chinook salmon), 957 nucleotides. The record is from Ensembl. Lineage: Eukaryota; Metazoa; Chordata; Actinopteri; Salmoniformes; Salmonidae.